GCGGGGAGGGAGGAGAUGCUGGUUGGGUACGUGAGGGAGCUGGAGAAGAGGGUGCAGGAGCUGAGCACGGAGGUGGAGGAGGAGAUGGCCAGGAACGCGCAUCUGCAGGAGCUUCUCCACGAGAGGGCUUGUGAGAAUCACACGGAUUCAUCUCACACAUCAGGGAGUCGUUGAGAGAUCGCCGUGCGUCUCCUUGCAGUGUGUGAUUGGUUGGACACAGGAUUGAUCAACGUAUAUGCAUGCAUGCUUGCUCGUGAAAAUUCUUAGGCUGCUAAUAUAGUUUGUACAAUUUGUACACUUGCACGGAGUGAUCGAAAUGCUGGUGGUGUACUUUCUCAAGAAGUAUGCGUUAAAUGUACAGUAAUUUACACAGUUGUACCUGGGCUACAAGUUUUACUUUUUACGGGUGAAGAAAGUAGGAAAAUUGUUGUUUCGCUGCACAUUUUUUGGUUAAAAAAGGUUCCAUCUCCACAUU
This 475-nucleotide small RNA is filed under the name Oryza sativa Japonica Group (Japanese rice). RNAcentral describes it as "sRNA Os03g0678100". Lineage: Eukaryota; Viridiplantae; Streptophyta; Magnoliopsida; Poales; Poaceae. The record is from RNAcentral.